This is a long non-coding RNA of Triticum aestivum (bread wheat), 508 nucleotides long. RefSeq lists it as uncharacterized. Lineage: Eukaryota; Viridiplantae; Streptophyta; Magnoliopsida; Poales; Poaceae. The record is from RefSeq and is a predicted model, not a curated record. The transcript is spliced from 2 exons.
AUUAAUUAAUCUAAAAAAGGUAUCCAUCCAAUCUGUCCUCGAUCAUCCCCUUUUCUUGGAAUCUGAGCCCUAAACCAUGAUGCAGCUUCUCCUUUGAAGUCAAUCUCAGCUCCGAAGUAUUUGAUCUAGAAAAACAUGGUGACCACGUACCAGAGUGUUCGCGUGGCCGUAACACCGACGCAUGCUACGCGGACACAUGCGGACACACAACUUGAAAAGCUGAGCAUGGGACAGCUACUACAAGGGCAAUAGAUGGCGACUAGCAGUGCUGCGAUGGGCAGGGAAGAGGUGCAACAACGACGAAACAGUGGCAUGCAGGAUGUGGCGAGGAAUAGUGGCUGGUGGUGGACGAUGCUAUAAAUAGGCACAACAACGCCAGGUUAGGGCAUGUCCGAGUAGCAUACAUAUAUCUAUUCUGUUCUGUUUUUGCUUAGCGUCUAUAUAUCUAUCUUUGCGUUAAAGCAAGAAAAUAAUGCAUGAAAAAAGUUGAGUUUCAGCAGCACCAAAA